AUGAGAGGAUAUCCAACGACCAACGUGCCAAGAGCCCAACGCCCGCCACACGCUCCCACCCGGACCUCGGCGCCGCCCGGCCGACCCGAAUGGCGACUCUCUCCGCCCCCUUGCUCCGUUCCCACCACCGUCACCUCCCCAUCCGCUCCUCGCCGCGCCGCUGCCCGACCGCCGCCGCCUUCCCGCGCGGGUUCGCUCCCCUCGAACCCCUCUCUUCCCGCGCGCCCUCACGCACCGUCGUCCGCUCCGCCUCAACCUCGGCAGCGGCACCGGAGGCCGCCGAGGCAUCGGGAGGCGCGGCCCCGAGCGAGACGGCCGCGGAGGUGGAGGUGGAGGCGCGCGUCGUGCUCCCCACCAACGAGUCCUCCGAGAACCUGCUGCGCAUCCGCCACACCUGUGCCCAUGUCAUGGCGAUGGCCGUCCAGAAGCUGUUCCCCAACUCCAAAGUUACCAUAGGCCCCUGGAUAGACAAUGGCUUCUACUACGACUUCGACAUGGAGCCCCUCACGGAUAAGGACCUCAAGAAGAUCAAGAAGGAGAUGGACCGAAUCAUUCGACGGAACCUCCCAUUGGUGAGGGAGGAGGUGUCCAGGGAAGAGGCUCAAAAGAGGAUCCAAGCGCUUAACGAGCCAUAUAAGCUGGAGAUUUUGGAGAGAAUUAAGGAAGAACCCAUCACAAUUUAUCACAUUGGAGAAGAGUGGUGGGAUCUGUGUGCUGGCCCUCAUGUUGAGUCUACUGGCAAGAUACAGAGAAAAGCUGUUGAACUCGAGUCUGUUGCUGGUGCUUACUGGAGAGGUGACGAGAAUAAUCAAAUGCUACAAAGGAUAUAUGGGACUGCAUGGGAGAGUGAAGAUCAAUUGAAGGCUUACAUCCACUUCAAGGAGGAGGCCAAGCGCAGAGACCAUCGGCGACUAGGUCAGGACCUUGAUCUGUUCUCUAUACAGGAAGACGCUGGUGGGGGUUUAGUAUUCUGGCAUCCAAAAGGUGCUAUCAUCAGACACAUUUUAGAAGAUUCGUGGAAACAAACUCACCUGCAACGUGGUUAUGAUCUAUUGUACACUCCACAUGUUGCGAAGGCUGAUCUCUGGAAGAUUAGUGGACAUAUAGAUUUCUACAAAGAGAAUAUGUACAACCAAAUGGAUGUAGAAGAUGAGCCAUAUCAACUUCGGCCCAUGAAUUGCCCUUACCACAUCUUGGUAUAGAAGAGAAAGCUACAAUCAUACAGGGAUUUACCCAUCAGAGUGGCAGAGCUUGGAACUGUCUACAGAUAUGAGCUCUCUGGUGCUCUGCAUGGGCUGUUCCGUGUAAGAGGGUUCACACAGGAUGAUGCCCACAUAUUUUGUCUCGAAGACCAGAUAAAAGAUGAAAUUAGAGGAGUUCUUGAUUUAACUGAAGAAAUACUGGGGCAGUUUGGCUUCCGGAAUUAUGAGGUAAACCUUUCAACCAGGCCAGAAAAAUCUGUUGGCAGUGACGACAUAUGGGAAAAGGCAACAAUUGCUCUGAAAGACGCACUAGAUGAUAAAGGAUGGGGAUACACGGUUGAUGAAGGGGGAGGUGCUUUCUAUGGUCCAAAAAUUGAUUUGAAAAUUGAGGACGCUCUUGGAAGAAAAUGGCAAUGUUCCACUGUGCAGGUUGACUUCAAUUUGCCUGAACGGUUUGACAUCACUUAUGUUGACUCGCAUACUGAGAAGAAACGGCCUAUCAUGAUUCAUAGAGCCAUCCUUGGGUCUUUGGAGCGCUUUUUUGGCAUCCUCAUUGAAAACUACGCUGGUGAUUUUCCACUUUGGCUUGCUCCAACCCAAGCCCGUAUUCUACCUGUCACAAACAAUGAGCUGCAGUACUGCAAUGAGGUGGCUUCAGAACUGAAAUCAAGAGGUAUCCGCGCCGAGGUAUGCCACGGCAAGCGUCUGCCGAAGUUAAUCAGAAACGCCGAAACACAAAAGGUGCCGCUCAUGGCGGUCGUUGGCCCCAAGGAAGUCGAAGCUAGGACUCUCACCAUCAGGUCCAGGCAUAACGGGGAGAUGGGCACCAUGCUCGUCGACGAUUUCAUCAGCAAAAUCCAAUCGGCCGUUGCUGACAAAUCUUCGCUGUAGAUACUCCAGCCUGUUGAACUUCAGUUCAUAUUGUAGAGCACUAGAUCUUUUGCUGCACAUACACCAUACAGCGCCCACCGGAGCGCUUCUGAUGAAACUGAGCGACGGAGGUCCAACAAUUUUGUGCAGAAUCGCCAUCACCACACACUAUAUAGUCAGCAACAGAAGCCCAGCAUUCUUCAUUGUACAUAGUUUGUGACCACAUUCCAGUGCAAGUUUUCAGCUAGACCUUGUUGCACAAUCACGUCGAUAAUAUUACACAAAUGAGUGGACUGCAAUCUGCACUGCACCUGC
RNAcentral lists this ribosomal RNA (2387 nucleotides) under Triticum aestivum (bread wheat). Its description in RNAcentral is "partial small subunit ribosomal RNA". The record is from RNAcentral. Lineage: Eukaryota; Viridiplantae; Streptophyta; Magnoliopsida; Poales; Poaceae.